Molecule: ribosomal RNA, 314 nt
Filed under: uncultured Treponema sp.
Lineage: Bacteria; Pseudomonadati; Spirochaetota; Spirochaetia; Treponematales; Treponemataceae
Description: bacterial SSU rRNA
Rfam family: Bacterial small subunit ribosomal RNA
Source: RNAcentral
AACGAACGCUGGCGGCGCGUCUUAAGCAUGCAAGUCGGCGGAUUCCCCAGCUUGCUGGAGAUGAGAGCGGCGGACUGGUGAGUAACGCGUGGGCGACGCGCCCCGUGGACCGGGAUAGCCUGUGGAAACACAGGGUAAUACCGGGCGAGCUCCCCCGCGCCGGAGGCGGGGAGGAAAGGAGCCGAGGCUCCGCCACGGGAGCGGCCCGCGUCCCAUCAGCUGGAUGGCGGUGCAAGGGACCACCAUGGCUAUGACGGGUACCCGGCCUCAGAGGGCGACCGGGCACAUUGGGACUGAGAUACGGCCCAGACUCC